RNAcentral lists this ribosomal RNA (553 nucleotides) under Equus asinus (donkey). Its description in RNAcentral is "partial large subunit ribosomal RNA". It matches the Rfam family "Bacterial large subunit ribosomal RNA", at positions 1816 to 2597 of the family's 2925-position model. Lineage: Eukaryota; Metazoa; Chordata; Mammalia; Perissodactyla; Equidae. The record is from RNAcentral.
CACCUCUAGCAUUCCUAGUAUUAGAGGCACUGCCUGCCCAGUGACGUCUGUUUAAACGGCCGUGGUAUCCUAACUGUGCAAAGGUAGCAUAAUCACUUGUUCCCUAAGCAGGGACUUGUAUGAACGGCCACACAAGGUUUCACUGUCUCUUACUUCCAAUCAGUGAAAUUGACCUUCCCGUGAAGAGGCGGGAAUAACUAAAUAAGACAAGAAGACCCUAUGGAACUUUAAUUAACUGAUUCACAAAAAAUAACAUACAAACCUAACCUUCAGGGACAAGAGAACCUUUGACUGAAUCAGCAAUUUCGGUUGAGGUGACCUCGGAGAACAAAAUAACCUCCGAGUGAUUAAAAUCCAGACUAAUUAGUCGAAAUAUACAAUCACUUAUUGAUCCAAACUAUUGAUCAACGGAACAAGUUACCCUAGGGAUAACAGUGCAGUCCUAUUCCAGAGUCCAUAUCGACAAUUAGGGUUUACGACCUCGAUGUUGGAUCAAGACAUCCUAAUGGUGCAACCGCAAUUAAGGGUUCGUUUGUUCAACGAUUAAAGUCUU